This 292-nucleotide ribosomal RNA is filed under the name uncultured Bacillus sp. Its description in RNAcentral is "partial 16S ribosomal RNA". It matches the Rfam family "Bacterial small subunit ribosomal RNA", at positions 505 to 796 of the family's 1533-position model. Lineage: Bacteria; Bacillati; Bacillota; Bacilli; Caryophanales; Bacillaceae. The record is from RNAcentral.
GUGCCAGCAGCCGCGGUAAUACGUAGGUGGCAAGCGUUGUCCGGAAUUAUUGGGCGUAAAGCGCGCGCAGGCGGUCCUUUAAGUCUGAUGUGAAAUCUUGCGGCUCAACCGCAAGCGGUCAUUGGAAACUGGGGGACUUGAGUGCAGAAGAGGAAAGCGGAAUUCCACGUGUAGCGGUGAAAUGCGUAGAGAUGUGGAGGAACACCAGUGGCGAAGGCGGCUUUCUGGUCUGUAACUGACGCUGAGGCGCGAAAGCGUGGGGAGCAAACAGGAUUAGAAACCCUUGUAGUCC